UUAUAUUGAAAACUGAGGUGGAUAAAGAUGGGCACGCGCAAGAUUAGAUAGUUGGUAGGGUAACGGCCUACCAAGUCCACGAUCUUUAGGGGGCCUGAGAGGGUGAUCCCCCACACUGGUACUGAGACACGGACCAGACUCCUACGGGAGGCAGCAGUGAGGAAUAUUGGACAAUGGGUUAGCGCCUGAUCCAGCCAUCCCGCGUGAAGGAUGACGGCCCUAUGGGUUGUAAACUUCUUUUGUAUAGGGAUAAACCUUUCCACGUGUGGAAAGCUGAAGGUACUAUUUUUUUUAUCACCGGCUAACUCCGUGCCAGCAGCCUCGGUAAUACGGAGGGUGCAAGCGUUAUCCGGAUUUAUUGGGUUUAAAGGGUCCGU
Molecule: ribosomal RNA, 377 nt
Filed under: Chryseobacterium sp. RZ5MS6
Lineage: Bacteria; Pseudomonadati; Bacteroidota; Flavobacteriia; Flavobacteriales; Weeksellaceae
Description: bacterial SSU rRNA
Rfam family: Bacterial small subunit ribosomal RNA
Source: RNAcentral